This 326-nucleotide ribosomal RNA is filed under the name uncultured Planctomycetales bacterium. RNAcentral's name for it is "bacterial SSU rRNA". It matches the Rfam family "Bacterial small subunit ribosomal RNA", at positions 1027 to 1352 of the family's 1533-position model. Lineage: Bacteria; Pseudomonadati; Planctomycetota; Planctomycetia; Planctomycetales. The record is from RNAcentral.
AACGUACACAGGUGCUGCAUGGCCGUCGUCAGCUCGUGUCGUGAGAUGUCGGGUUUAGUCCCUUAACGAGCGAAACCCUUGUUCCUAGUUGCCAGCACGUAAUGGUGGGGACUCUAGGGAGACUGCCGGUGUUAAACCGGAGGAAGGUGGGGAUGACGUCAGGUCCUCAUGGCCUUUAUGACCAGGGCUGCACACGUCCUACAAUGCAGUGUACAGAGGGAAGCGAACUCGCGAGAGCAAGCAAAUCCCAAAAAGCACUGCCCAGUUCGGAUUNNAGGCCGAAACUCGCCUGCAUGAAGCCGGAAUCGCUAGUAAUCGUGGGUCAG